This 71-nucleotide transfer RNA is filed under the name Zebrias crossolepis. RNAcentral's name for it is "tRNA-Trp". The record is from RNAcentral. Lineage: Eukaryota; Metazoa; Chordata; Actinopteri; Pleuronectiformes; Soleidae.
AGGGAUUUAGGAUAACAACAGACCAAGGGCCUUCAAAGCCCUCAGCGGGAGUGGAAAACUCCCAGUCCCUA